UACAAUUCUUCAAAACUCAACUGAUUUCAUCGAAGCCUUCUCAAAACUGAAGAACUAUCCAGACAUCGAAACACAGAUAUUUGACAUACUAGAAAGAUUUGUUUGCUGCAUAUACGGACUUAAAAAGUUUACUGACGUCAACGAAGCCCGGCUUUCAAUUUUUGCCAAAUCCUUUAAAUGCAACGACAUUGAAGAGACGUUCAAAAUUAAAACAAAAAACUUUGAUGGCUCAAUUUUGCCACCCUGCAAGUCGGAGCUGCGCCAGCAAAUUUUGAGAUGUGCUUACAUCUCAAGUAUAUGGAGUAAUGCAUACCGCCAAAAUCCCACCGUCCUCUCUCCUUCUAACUGUGGAUGGCAAGAAAUAAGGGACAAAUUGGAGUUUAGGUGGUUUGAAGGUGACCAAUUACCAACUUCGGUCAGCGAAGUUUUGAUUAAGGAUCAUUCAAACAUUAAUGAUUCAGACGCAAAUAUCCAAAUUGACAACGAAGAAUAUGAUGAAGAAACUACCCACAACCAAGUCAGCACUAGCGAAGAUUCUGAUGAAGAAGAUAUUUCAUGUUUAAUGGAGUCAUUCAGAAGUGGCGAAGAUGUGCUGUCCAGCAUUUUUGACUAAAUUAUUAUCUUAUAACGUUUUGAAAACAAAUUAAAACCAAAACUAAAAG
This is a long non-coding RNA of Eupeodes corollae, 662 nucleotides long. RefSeq lists it as uncharacterized. Lineage: Eukaryota; Metazoa; Arthropoda; Insecta; Diptera; Syrphidae. The record is from RefSeq and is a predicted model, not a curated record. The transcript has 2 exons.